RNAcentral lists this ribosomal RNA (510 nucleotides) under uncultured bacterium. RNAcentral describes it as "partial 16S ribosomal RNA". It matches the Rfam family "Bacterial small subunit ribosomal RNA", at positions 28 to 507 of the family's 1533-position model. The record is from RNAcentral.
GACGAACGCUGGCGGCGUGCUUAACACAUGCAAGUCGAACGAAGAGCGAUGGAAGCUUGCUUCUAUCAAUCUUAGUGGCGAACGGGUGAGUAACGCGUAAUCAACCUGCCCUUCAGAGGGGGACAACAGUUGGAAACGACUGCUAAUACCGCAUACGAUCUAAUCUCGGCAUCGAGGAUAGAUGAAAGGUGGCCUCUACAUGUAAGCUAUCACUGCAGGAGGGGAUUGCGUCUGAUUAGCUAGUUGGAGGGGUAACGUCCCACCAAGGCGAUGAUCAGUAGCAGGUCGGAGAGGAUGAACAGCCACAUUGGGACUGAGACACGGCCCAGACUCCUACGGGAGGCAGCAGUGGGGAAUCGUCCGCAAUGGACGAAGGUCUGACGGAGCAACGCCGCGUGAGUGAUGACGGCCUUCGGGUUGUAAAGCUCUGUUAAUCGGGACGAAAGGCCUUCUUGCGAAUAGGGAGAAGGAUUGACGGUACCGGAAUAGAAAGCCACGGCUAACUACGUG